This 178-nucleotide non-coding RNA is filed under the name Massilia agilis. RNAcentral describes it as "6S RNA". It matches the Rfam family "6S / SsrS RNA". From Rfam's summary of the family: E. coli 6S RNA was the first non coding RNA to be sequenced, but its function was unknown until recently. It consists of 184 nucleotides that fold into an extended hairpin structure with a large single-stranded internal bulge. The record is from RNAcentral. Lineage: Bacteria; Pseudomonadati; Pseudomonadota; Betaproteobacteria; Burkholderiales; Oxalobacteraceae.
ACUACCCUGCGGUGUUCGAGAUUGCCAUAUAUUCCUUGAACCAUUCGUGUGCAACGGUUGUGGAAUACGUUCGAUGGGCGUGAGCGUCGCUUGUCCGACGAACCCGAAAUUGAUCUGACUGCGACCACCUGAACCUCAGGUUCGGGAUGCCGGCAAAAACGGCACAGGCGGGGCACAA